Molecule: ribosomal RNA, 497 nt
Filed under: uncultured bacterium
Lineage: Bacteria
Description: partial 16S ribosomal RNA
Rfam family: Bacterial small subunit ribosomal RNA
Source: RNAcentral
GAUGAACGCUGGCGGCGUGCCUAAUACAUGCAAGUCGAGCGAACAGACGAGGAGCUUGCUCCUCUGACGUUAGCGGCGGACGGGUGAGUAACACGUGGAUAACCUACCUAUAAGAUUGGGAUAACUUCGGGAAACCGGAGCUAAUACCGGAUAAUAUAUUGAACCGCAUGGUUCAAUAGUGAAAGACGGUUUUGCUGUCACUUAUAGAUGGAUCCGCGCCGCAUUAGCUAGUUGGUAAGGUAACGGCUUACCAAGGCAACGAUGCGUAGCCGACCUGAGAGGGUGAUCGGCCACACUGGAACUGAGACACGGUCCAGACUCCUACGGGAGGCAGCAGUAGGGAAUCUUCCGCAAUGGGCGAAAGCCUGACGGAGCAACGCCGCGUGAGUGAUGAAGGUCUACGGAUCGUAAAACUCUGUUAUUAGGGAAGAACAAAUGUGUAAGUAACUAUGCACGUCUUGACGGUACCUAAUCAGAAAGCCACGGCUAACUACGUG